AACAACAAAAACAUAACAAUAUCUCGUCAAACCAUAAACCAUAGAAAUUUCUUUUCUUUUCUUUUUUCUUUUAUUGUAUUCUGAUAUUGCUUUUGUGUUCAUUUAAACAUCUCAUACUGGGCUUUCUUAUUUCUUUCGUGUUUCCAAACAUAUGUUAUCUUCAAUUAUUUGGAAGUCAAUGGAGUGGGGAUAGGUCUGACUUUUUUUUCUCUCUUUUUGUUUUUGGCUGAAAAGCAGCUCUUGCAUCUCAUCACUAGUUCCAUCAAGACAGCUUGCUCCAGCUCUCAUAAGCCAUCUUCUUCAGGUGACAAUUGACCAUCUAUAUAAUAAUCUUUUUAUUUUUAUUUAUUUUAUUUUUCCAACUCCAUAUUUCAUUAUAUGUUCACUCAUGUAUAUAUUUCAUCUGCAAUAGAAGUAAUGAGAUCAUAUCAUGGUAGUUGAAGUGUACAUUUUGGGUAUCGCCUGCAUGUUUUACUUGCUGGUCAAUCCUUCAGAAACUUCUAAUUUCGCAGAUACAUAUGAGAGAUUGCCUAGCAGUAAUACCACUGCAGUUAGAUUGUUUUUGGAAUCAACUUGAAGAUAGGUUACAUAAAUAACUUAAUAGUGAAGUUCUUUGGUCAGUAUAUUGUAGUAUUAUUGGGGGCAUUUCUAUUCAGCAAAUUCCUUUUUUAUUGGGUGGGUUGGGUGGAUGAAAAAACUUGUUUGGUGGCUCACAAGUGGCCAUGAGAAGUCACUCUUCCUCAAAGUUGCAUCAACAAGCACCAAUGCACUGACAUGGUCAAUCAUUCAACUGUCUAAAAGAAACUCAAAAUCUCAACGGAUUAGGAACUGGAACUCAGAACUAUUUUCAUUACUAGGGUAAAGUUCAAAUGUUUUAAGUAGUAAUCAUACUGCAAUAUGUCCAAAUGCUACUGAACCCCACCCCAGAAAGCUUCACCUUGACCCCCAACCAUGCAACUCUGGUUCUUCCUUCAAUGCCAUAACUAUUAACAUCCUGAAUUUGUUGGCUAUGUCCAUAAACGGCUCCCAUAAAUGAAUUCAAUUGUCUAACUCUCUAGCCUGUUUACAUCACACCGUUUUAGGUUUUGAGUUCUCACAUGAUUAUUGUCUUUUCUUGCACAAAAGUUCCUGCAUUUUUUUUUCUUGGACUGGUUAUUCUCGUGACACAUUACAGAACUAUGAAGAGUUAAUUUUUCUUCUCUUUUAAAGAAAAGAAGUGCCUUAUACGGAUGUGACAAGGUUUUUGAUUAGAUUUUUCUAUUUAUGCUGUCCGUCUUAUAACAGGUUGUCAAGUCCAGAAAGAAGCCACCAAAAUGGACCAGUUGUUUACUUGGUCAGUGAUUUUGUAGUUUAAAGGAUCCCAUACAUUAUACUCAGAUAUAAAAUACCAUUCUUGGAAGCUUCUCCUUGCUUUUUGUAUGUAUAAUAAUAUGUAACAGCUAUAAUGAUUGUGAGCGGUAUAGAAAAGAAAAUUUUUCUUUCUGAUAAUUUUUCUUUUCUUUUCUUUUUACAAUUUUAUAAUAUUCUUUUAUCUUCACAUUAUUGUGAUAAAGAAUGUUUCAAUCAUGCUCAAUCAUUGGAUUCCCUCUCCAAUCUAGAGCAUUAUGCACCGGCAAGAACAAAGGUGGUCGGCGACCCGAAGAAUCAAAAUAAUCACAAUACUUAUAUGAGAAGAUGGUUGUUUAUUGAUCAUGGGUAUUUCAACUGAGCUGGCAUUUUCUUUGUUUCGUUUUUGGUAGGAUUGUUAGCUUCUACGAAUCCCACUCACUUUCUCAGUAGAGAUAGAGACCCAAUGAUUUUGAUCUAAGAGCUUUUGUUCUCACGUGCCUGACAUAUUCACGGAUAAAGAAAUGGAAAUUCGCGAGUUAGACAACAAAACCAAUUCACCCAGGAAAUAAUAAAUCCAAAUUUCACAAAAGCUGCUUUUGUUCGACUUACCAUGUGAUGCCGCACUUGCCCGUGCUUACAACCUGGCUCUCUCUCUGGACGCCUUUUAAAAAAAAAAACCACGUAUUCAAUGUUAAAGCUUGUUUUAAACAAAUGAUGAUCAUCUCCGGUGAGAGUAUGUAUGGUGGUGCAUUAUAAUGCUAGUAAAGGUCCCUGGGUCAGAGGUCUGUUUUUUAACUUCUCUUCCCUUUACGGCGCCGGCCAUGAAUUUUAAAUUUAUGAAAAGGCUUGCAAGAGUUCACGAUGCCAUGUCUUUAAUACCACUGGACUCAAGUUGCCUAAACGGGAGAGCUGGGUUACCCGGCAACUGACUCAUGUGAGUGGAUUAGUUAGGUAUGUUAAUACCUAAGGCCGUUCACAUAAAGGCAAGCAUCUUAUCUUUCAAGGGCAUCGAGUUCUGACCUACAUACGCUGCUGAUAGGGACCACCCUGUUUUAUGUCGUCUGAUGACUUAGAAACUCAUCUUCGCUUCCCUCUAAAUUACAAACACAUUUCCUCUAUAAAAAAAAAUUAAAGGCUAAAAAUUUAAAUUUAUAAAUCACAUUCUUGAAGCAUUUAAGAAUGUUAAAAAUGCGUUUGUGGCUGUAAAUCGAUUACCUCUUAUUAUCUAAACAAUGAUUUGGAAAAGAUGUGAUGGACCGCGGUCGGACAAAUUUUCAACGGACACGUUGGAUCAGUUUGAUUGAUAAUAUAUGGUUGCGAGGAACUUUAUGGGUUUUUCACCAAAAGAAGUUAUAAGCGCUUUUGCCUCCUGUCCCGUGAACUCUUUGUGGUGCAAUUUAGUGACCUUAUAACUACUUCCCAUGCAUACAACGAAAACGAUUAAAGAGCAUAUUUGAUCCACCGACACUCCUCUAGAAACCAGUCUUGAAAAUUUUUCUCUCAGUUAAAAGAUUUAAAAGCAGAAAAGUGGAAACUGCAUUACGUACUAAAUUCCAGACUUGUACAGUCAUAUGUUGAAGCUUUCAAUGUGGCCUGUGAUCCACCCAUGUAUCGUUGUUCUUCUACUAAUAGAACCAAAUUCAACCAUUUAAGAUCACCUUUCCGUUAUAAAUCUUCCAGAUGAAAUAGAAAUUAAGCAAGAAGAUUGACUCAAAACUUUGAAUCACCGCCACAAAUGAUCUAAAUUACUGAAAGAAUGAGAAACCACCCACGACUACUUUUUUCUUGAACGUUUUUUCCCUCUGAGAACUUUGACUUUCUGGAACCUACUGGGGCCAUAAUGGUUGUGUGUGUUCACUGUUCAGCACCCACCACCACCGAACCACCACUCGACACAAUUCACACCCACACCCACCACUGGAUCUGACUGGGUCCUUCAAAGCAUGGAGCCAGGGGAGGGUGUGGGCUGAGCCAGUUAAUGCCCCACCAGCGGACUCCAUACGAUAUUUUUCUAGGUCUUGGAGCGCCUGGUCAUGGGACCCACCCACCCCCACCCUUGCCGACGAACCUAACAAGAAAACCGUGCACCUCUCUUAAAUCUAGGGUAAUUGUGUCCGUAAUUUGCGUGGCCUUUUUCUCCUCUCACGCGCUUUUUAUCCCUUCCCCUUUUACACUUUACCCCCUAUCUCUCCGUCUGACUCUCUCUGUGCUUCCACCUUCUCUUUUUAAUACCCACUUUUUGCCCCUCCCAACCUCGCCAUUCAUUACUCAUUUCCUCCUUUUUGACCACUCAGAUUCAUUUGCAUUAUUCUAUUUCUAAAUUACACUUAUUUAUUUUUAUGUGUUUAGCAUCAAUAUGCAUCAUUUUACUUGUAAAUUAGUCACUGAUUUCAAAUUUUAACCGUUGGAUAUUUGUAAGACCGACACCCAACAUAAUACACCAACCCUAUUAAAUUCCGGAGAUUUCUUCGUACAAUUAUUUCACCAAUUGAUGGGAUGCACUUUUAUUCCUUGUCUCAAUAAAAUAUCUAACAUUCUGUACCUGAUUUUUUAAAAUAUAUAUUUAAAAAAAAAAAAAAAAAACCAUUUCUUUUUCUUGAGGUAAAAGGAGAAAGGUGAUACCCCUAUGGAAAACCUAAGGGUGGGUAAUACUAAUGGAGGGGCCAUGCCCUCCAUUCACUCCAAUUUCAAAUUCGGUUAAAAAGUAAUGUAUUUAAGACUAAUAUUAAAUAAUAAAAAAAUGAAAGGUGAGGCCACAAGCUGAGGUGGCUGAAAUUCAAUAGUAAAGUCUCUUGUCUAGCUGGCUUGGAGGUGUGCGAGUGUCAACACCCUUAAAACCUCAUCUAACGUUUGAUGCCACGUGGCAAAAUAACCUUGAAGUUUGGACUUUUUCUUGCGGUCAACAGCAACUGAAGCUGUGACAGCGUGACUGAGCCCUUGCCCACGUUGGAGUUGGAAACUUGGAACAGUGAUGACGACAUGGACCCUUAUCCCUCUGCCACGUGGAUUAAAUGAGCGUUACAGCUGGCCUCAGACGGCUGUCAUUUUGUCCUUCUCGAAUGGCUUCUUCUUCCAACGUGUCUCCCCUGUCCCACACGCUCCCUUGCUGACCUGUCAUCUUUAUGAACUGUUUAUCAUCUCCAUACGCUUUUUUUUCCUUCAAAUAUACUAUUUUUUUCGUUAUUAUUCCUGGUAGGCGCCACCGCGUCAUGAAUAAUUUUAGGAUAUUUUCUUUUUCUUUAAUUUUUGUUAAGUGGAGUUCAUCUACCCAUUCAAUUAUCAUGCUUCAUUAUUAUUAGUUUGAAUAAUAUGCACACCAUACAUCUAGCAAUAGAAAUUUCUACAUGACCCACAAACAUGGUGGAAUGAGAGAAAGAGAAACACACACAAAUUGGCCUAUUUUAAAAAUAAUAAUAAUUACGAAUUUUUUUAAUUAGCCAUAUUCUUUAUUUAACACUAUUAUUAAUUAAAAUUCAUUAAAUAUUUCAUAAAUUCAUGUAAUGUCAUUAUCAUUAUCUCUUUCUCAUGGCAUGCAAUAUUUUUGAAGCUCACGAUUGAUAAGUGAUGAAAGGCUUGCUUUUUUUUUAUUUUUUAUAAAUAAAUAAAUAAAUUUAUAUUUUGAUAGUGAUGUAAAAUAUAAUAGUAUAAUUUUAAAAUAAUAAUAAUAAUUAAAACUUGAUUUUCAAGUCACAGGGCGGUCUAUUUUUAAAAUCAUGAAAGUCGCUAGUUGACAUGAAGGUUCCAUGAGUUGGAAUUUUGGGAGUUAUAAAUCGCACCAAUGGGCGCGCCUAUAAUAAUAAUAAUAAUAAUAAUAAUAAAUAAUAUUUUUAAUAAUAAUGUCACCAAAAUACCAUUAUAAACAAUAACGGAGUCAUAACGCUGAACCGCUCUCAGCCGUCCGAUAGAAGGAUAUGUUAGAAAUUUGAGCGCCCCACCGUCUCGAGUUCCGCGCUUUUUAUCCAACGGAAAGCCACUUCGCCACGAAAGCGCGUAAACGGCGGUUACGGCCAUUAAGAAAUGGAAAAGAGGAGGGGCGUUAGGGUAAAUAAAGUCGGGGAGACUUAUGAGAGGCGGACGCGGUGCACCACAAAAGGGGUAUGAGCGCCGACGGUCCAGCGGAGCAGGACGUGACGCGUGGGCCCAAAACACACUUGUAUGGCGUCGCUUUCUUACAUCGGACACAGAUAUCAGCUUAGAGUGGGACCCGCCCCCUCUAUUUACUCUCUCCGCUACAUGUUCGCAAUUCACAUAUGAUGGUGAUGGUGAUGCUGAUGCUGAUGAUGCCCCCAUGCCCCAUGCAUUAUCAUGCUUUCAUGCACAUUAAGCUCUCGCCCAGUCCCCGUCAUUAAUGCUGUAACGUUUCCGUUGAUUCGUUAAGUGCGUUAAUCUGUCUUAUCCUUUGAAGUUAAAUGUCCAAAUUAGCCUCUCCCCAAUCCCCAUUCUCAGCUUUGAAAUAAUGAUUAUAUACCAGACAUUAGAAAAUAGGGCAAGGGACAAAGAAAUGUAAUUUUAUAAAAUAUUAGGUCAUUAAUCACCGAAUUAUAUUUUUAUAUUUGGGAAAAUAAAUAUUACAUUCUUCUUUUAAAAAUGUAAUGGAACUACGAAAAUGGGAAAGAGAAGGGCAAUAAUGUAAUUUCAGAAAACGUUACGCAGCAGUUCAUUUACUACACCAAAGUCUUAUGAUUUGACAAACAAGACCCGAAACAAACAAAGAAACAAACAGCCUCCCACUAUGGCACUAUCUAAUCUCUCCCUCCCCCUCACACCUAACCAAAAACACAAACAAAUUCUCGUUGCGGAAAACAAAAUCCCGCGAGAUUAACAAAUUCAAUUGAACUAUGCCGGACAUUCUCGCCGGUCAACUCGGCGGAGUUGGGCCCUCACAGACUCCCCCCUCUAACAACCCUCAGGAUUAUCCUUAUUCUUUAAAUACUUAACCAAUAUUUACCCUUCAAUUAAUUAAUUAAUUAGAAUUAGAGUGGGAGGGGGGUUUAGGUGGCUGAUUCCAAGCUUAAGCUUGUGGAGGUGAAUGGGAAUGGGAUUCAAAAAGCAAGAAUAAAGUCCCCCUCUUGAUAGAAAGAAAGAGGCACAGAAAAAAAAAGAAAAAAAGAAAAGGAGAGAGAGUGAAGAGAGAGAAUCUGGUGGGCUUUGAGCUGUGGUUUAGCUGUCUUCUGAUGGUGUUUAUUUCUUCUCUCACACACACAUCUCCAAAAAUCAACAACCCUUAGCCUAGCCCCCUCUUCCUUCCCAUAUCUUCAAUCUCUCUCUCUCUCUUUCUGUAUACAUUUUUCUUCACUCUCUCGCUCUUUCUGUUUUCUGAUUCAGUUCUCCGAUCAUCUUCUUCUGGAUAUCUCUCCCGCAUUUUGGACUCAGAUCUUAAGGGAGGUUUUGCAGGAACUCAGUCGGGGUUGUUUGUGAGUCAGAUGUCUGGUGUGAGAUGAAGAAGAAGACCCAUCUCCUCCAUUUUGUUCUUCUUCACUCUCUCCUCUUCUUGGGCUGCCUCGCUCUCUGUUCUGCGGAGCAGAUCUCUAUUUCCAGCCAUGGCCACCUCACUGACGCGGAAGUUAUGUACAUUAAGCGGCGUCAACUUCUGUACUACAGAGACGAGUUUGGUGACAGAGGGGAGGAUGUGACUGUGGAUCCUUCUCUGGUGUUUGAGAACCCUAGGCAGAGGAACGCCUACAUUGCGUUGCAAGCUUGGAAACAGGCCAUUCUAUCUGAUCCUCUUAAUCUUACGCUCAACUGGGUUGGAUCUAAUGUGUGUAACUACACCGGGGUUUACUGCGCACAAGCUCCGGACAAUUCGUCCAUCCGUACCGUCGCCGGCAUUGAUCUCAACCAUGGAGACAUCGCCGGGUACUUGCCGGAGGAGCUAGGUCUGCUAACUGAUCUUGCAUUGUUCCACAUCAACUCCAACCGCUUCUGUGGGACUGUUCCGCAUAAGUUUGCGAAGCUCAAGAUACUGUUUGAAUUGGAUCUCAGCAACAAUAGGUUCGCCGGGAAGUUCCCGGAAGUGGUGCUUCACUUGCCAACGCUGAAAUUCUUAGAUCUGCGAUUCAAUGAGUUUGAAGGAACCGUGCCGAAGGAGCUGUUUGAUAAGGAUUUGGACGCCAUUUUCAUCAACCACAACAGGUUCGCCUUCGAUCUGCCUGACAACUUCGGUAACUCGCCGGUGUCGGUGAUAGUUGUAGCGAACAACAAGCUCCACGGCUGCGUGCCGGCGAGUCUGGGCAACAUGGCGGACACGCUGAAUGAGAUAAUUCUGAUGAAUAAUCAGUUCCGAUCGUGCUUGCCUGUUGAGAUCGGAUUGUUGAAGAAUUUAACUGUGUUGGAUGUCAGUUACAAUGGAUUGUUGGGACCGUUGCCGAAAGAGAUUGGUGGAAUGGUGGAGCUUGAGCAGCUCAAUGUGGCUCACAAUAUGCUCUCUGGGAGUAUUCCUGCCAGUAUUUGUAAGCUUCCAAAUCUUGAAAAUUUUACAUUUUCAUAUAAUUUCUUCACCGGCGAGCCACCGGCAUGUUUGGGUUUGGCGGAUUUCGAAGAUAGGAGGAAUUGCUUGCCAGGGAGGCCGGAGCAGAGGUCCGCCGGGCAAUGUAACUCGUUUUUGUCCCGACCUGUUGAUUGUAGCUCUUUCAGGUGUUCUCCUUUUGUUCCUUCUUUACCUACUCCCCCACCACCCUCACCACCGGUGUUCCCCUCUCCACCCCCGACACCGGUUUACUCACCUCCACCGGUGUUCUCGCCUCCGCCACCGGUGCUCUCUUCCCCACCACCACCAUCACCGCCACCGCCAUCUCCUUCGCCUCCACCACCUCCAGUUUACUCCCCUCCUCCACCUCCACCAGUUUACUCACCUCCACCACCCCCUCCUCCCCCACCGCCACCACCACCUGUUUAUUUUCCGCCACCACCUCCACCUUCACCACCACCACCGUCUCCCCCUCCACCCUCACCCCCACCACCUUCUCCAUCACCGCCUCCCCCUCCCUCGCCACCACCACCGGUAUUAUCGCCCCCGCCUCCAGUUUAUUGCGUCCGUUCCCCACCACCGCCACCGCCAAAUUCUCCCCCGCCUCCCAUUUAUUCUCCACCACCACCUCCAGUUCAUUCACCGCCCCCACCAAGUCCUUACUAUAGUUCACCACCGCCCCCGCCGCCACAUCAUUCACCUCCACCACCUCCCCACUCGCCACCCCCGCCUCCACCUAUCUAUCCAUACGCAUCACCGCCACCGCCACCCGUGCAUUCCCCACCACCACCUGUCCAUUCUCCACCACCUCCAUGCAUAGAACCGCCUCCUCCUUCUCCACCACCCCCAUCACCACCUCCAUGCAUAGAACCGCCUCCUCCUCCUUCUCCACCACCAUGUGUAGAAUAUUCGCCACCUCCACCAUCACCACACUCACCACCGCCACCACCAGUUCAUUACUUGCCUCCACCAUCACCAUCACCCCCACCACCACCUGUGUAUGCUUCUCCGCCACCUCCACCAUCUCUGCCUCCCCCAGUUUACUACCAUUCUCCGCCCCCACCCUCACCACCUCCUCCAACCCCAUGUGAAAAUCCUCCACCUACUCCAUCACCAC
RNAcentral lists this long non-coding RNA (8912 nucleotides) under Vitis vinifera (wine grape). Its description in RNAcentral is "long non-coding RNA (VVIN_LNC003405)". Lineage: Eukaryota; Viridiplantae; Streptophyta; Magnoliopsida; Vitales; Vitaceae. The record is from RNAcentral.